CAGUCGCCGCGGUAAUACGUAGGUGGCAAGCGUUGUCCGGAAUUAUUGGGCGUAAAGGGCUCGCAGGCGGUUUCUUAAGUCUGAUGUGAAAGCCCCCGGCUCAACCGGGGAGGGUCAUUGGAAACUGGGAAACUUGAGUGCAGAAGAGGAGAGUGGAAUUCCACGUGUAGCGGUGAAAUGCGUAGAGAUGUGGAGGAACGCCAGUGGCGAAGGCGACUCUCUGGUCUGUAGCUGACGCUGAGGAGCGAAAGCGUGGGGAGCGAACAGGAUUAGAUACCCGGGUAGUCCCUGUCUCUUAUAC
Molecule: ribosomal RNA, 301 nt
Filed under: uncultured bacterium
Lineage: Bacteria
Description: partial 16S ribosomal RNA
Rfam family: Bacterial small subunit ribosomal RNA
Source: RNAcentral